AGAAGCCAAAAGGCCUGUUGAGGAGCAGGUUUCAAGGAAGCAGGUGGAGAUGCGAGGAGACGUCCCUGAAGCAGACGCUUACAGGAGAACAGACGACAGAGCGUCUGCACCUGAAGCACCUAUUGUGGACACCAAAGUGGCAGACGAGAGGAAGUGGCCAGCUGAGGAAGUGCUGAGAGCUCCGGCUCGAUGGGAGGAGACAGC
This 204-nucleotide long non-coding RNA is filed under the name Salarias fasciatus (jewelled blenny). RNAcentral's name for it is "lncRNA (ENSSFAG00005019122.1)". The record is from RNAcentral. Lineage: Eukaryota; Metazoa; Chordata; Actinopteri; Blenniiformes; Blenniidae.